GAUGAACGCUGGCGGCGUGCCUAAUACAUGCAAGUCGAGCGAACGGACGAGAAGCUUGCUUCUCUGAUGUUAGCGGCGGACGGGUGAGUAACACGUGGAUAACCUACCUAUAAGACUGGGAUAACUUCGGGAAACCGGAGCUAAUACCGGAUAAUAUUUUGAACCGCAUGGUUCAAAAGUGAAAGACGGUCUUGCUGUCACUUAUAGAUGGAUCCGCGCUGCAUUAGCUAGUUGGUAAGGUAACGGAUUACCAAGGCAACGAUGCAUAGCCGACCUGAGAGGGUGAUCGGCCACACUGGAACUGAGACACGGUCCAGACUCCUACGGGAGGCAGCAGUAGGGAAUCUUCCGCAAUGGGCGAAAGCCUGACGGAGCAACGCCGCGUGAUUGAUGAAGGUCUUCGGAUCGUAAAACUCUGUUAUUAGGGAAGAACAUAUGUGUAAGUAACUGUGCACAUCGUGACGGUACCUAAUCAGAAAGCCACGGCUAACUACGUG
RNAcentral lists this ribosomal RNA (497 nucleotides) under uncultured bacterium. RNAcentral's name for it is "partial 16S ribosomal RNA". It matches the Rfam family "Bacterial small subunit ribosomal RNA", at positions 28 to 507 of the family's 1533-position model. The record is from RNAcentral.